CCUACGGGAGACAGCAGUGAGGAAUAUUGGUCAAUGGGAGAGAUCCUGAACCAGCCAAGCCGCGUGAGGGAAGACGGCCCUAUGGGUUGUAAACCUCUUUUGUCGGAGAACAAAACCCGGGACGUGUCCCGGCCUGCGUGUAUCCGAAAACAAAGCAUCGGCUAACUCCGUGCCCGCAGCCGCGGUAAUACGGAGGAUGCGAGCGUUAUCCGGAUUUAUUGGGUUGAAAGGGUGCGUAGGCGGUCCGUUAAGUCAGCGGUAAAAUUGCGGGGCUCAACCCCGUCGGGCCGUGGAAACGGGCAGACUUGAGUUGGCGAGAAGUACGCGGAAUGCGCGGUGUAGCGGUGAAAUGCAUAGAUAGCGCGCAGAACUCCGAUUGCGAAGGCAGCGUACCGGCGCCAGACUGACGCUGAGGCACGAAAGCGUGGGGAUCGAACAGGAUUAGAUACCCGUGUAGUC
RNAcentral lists this ribosomal RNA (459 nucleotides) under uncultured bacterium. Its description in RNAcentral is "partial 16S ribosomal RNA". It matches the Rfam family "Bacterial small subunit ribosomal RNA", at positions 338 to 795 of the family's 1533-position model. The record is from RNAcentral.